This 298-nucleotide unclassified non-coding RNA is filed under the name Hevea brasiliensis (rubber tree). Lineage: Eukaryota; Viridiplantae; Streptophyta; Magnoliopsida; Malpighiales; Euphorbiaceae. The record is from RNAcentral.
GCUUUAAGAAGCUAUUGGAGGCAUAGGAAUUUUGGGGAGUUUCCUGUGUGAUCUCAGAGUGGAUGUUAUGUUCUUAUGAGCAUGCAUGGAGUUGGGAACUCAAGGUAGAUUUAUUAAGAUAGCCUUUAUUGUAUCGGUAAUUGUGAUACUAUUACCCAGCAUAUGACCAGCCUAGAAACUAAUUGAACAAGACAAAACCCAGUUGUCAUCUGGAAUUUGAGUGCAUUGGACUUGACUUAGAUUGCAGCCUUUCUCAGCAGGAUUUGAAUAAAAGGAAAGGGAAUCUUAUUUAUGAUUG